Molecule: unclassified non-coding RNA, 463 nt
Filed under: uncultured soil eukaryote
Lineage: Eukaryota
Description: sequence contains 5.8S rRNA gene, ITS2, 28S rRNA gene
Rfam family: 5.8S ribosomal RNA (bases 1-153)
Source: RNAcentral
AACCAUCAGCGGUGGAUGUCUCGGUUUCCUGAUCGAUGACGAGCGUAGCAAAUUGCGAUAACUAAUGUGAAUUGCAGAGUAUGUGAAUCAUCGAGUCCUCGAACGCACUGCGCCUUGGGACCUCGGUCCCUCGGCAUGCCUGACUCAGCGUCGAACGUUCCUGCAGUACAACCUGCGUGUGGCAUCUGCAGCCGGCCCGUCCGGCUGCUCCUGCCUGAGUUCACUGCUUGCCCUUCCGGGCGAGCCCGAGCAAGACAACCAGCACCUGGACCCUCUGCGAUCCUGCCGGUCAACUGAUUACUCAUUGAUUGGAGCGGGUGAGCUCUGGACGAAGGGCUGCUGGCCCCUGUUCUCUUCUAUAGACCUGAGCUCAGGUAUGACUACCCCGGGGAUUUAAGCAUAUCAAUACCGGGAGGAAAAGAAACUAACUAGGAUUCCCUUAGUAACUGCGAGUGAAGCGGGA